This 902-nucleotide ribosomal RNA is filed under the name Cryphonectria radicalis. Its description in RNAcentral is "LSU rRNA". It matches the Rfam family "Eukaryotic large subunit ribosomal RNA", at positions 34 to 966 of the family's 3401-position model. The record is from RNAcentral. Lineage: Eukaryota; Fungi; Ascomycota; Sordariomycetes; Diaporthales; Cryphonectriaceae.
UUAAGCAUAUCAAUAAGCGGAGGAAAAGAAACCAACAGGGAUUGCCCUAGUAACGGCGAGUGAAGCGGCAACAGCUCAAAUUUGAAAUCUGGCUUCGGCCCGAGUUGUAAUUUGCAGAGGAUGUUUCUGGCGCGGUGCCUUCCGAGUUCUCUGGAACGGGACGCCACAGAGGGUGAGAGCCCCGUAUGGUUGGACACCAAGCCUGUGUGAAACUCCUUCGACGAGUCGAGUAGUUUGGGAAUGCUGCUCAAAAUGGGAGGUAAAUCUCUUCUAAAGCUAAAUACCGGCCAGAGACCGAUAGCGCACAAGUAGAGUGAUCGAAAGAUGAAAAGCACCUUGAAAAGGGGGUUAAACAGUACGUGAAAUUGUUGAAAGGGAAGCGCUUGUGACCAGACUUGCGCCGGGCGGCUCAUCCGGGGUUCUCCCCGGUGCACUCCGCCCGGCUCAGGCCAGCAUCGGUUUUCGUUGGGGGAUAAGAACGGCAGGAACGUGGCCCUCCUUCGGGUGGGUGUUAUAGCCUGCCGUACGAUACCCUGACGGGGACCGAGGUUCGCGCUCCGCAAGGAUGCUGGCGUAAUGGUCAUCAGCGACCCGUCUUGAAACACGGACCAAGGAGUCGUCCAUUAGAGCGAGCGUUUGGGUGUCAAACCCGCACGCGUAAUGAAAGUGAAAUUAGGUGAGAGCUUCGGCGCAUCAUCGACCGAUCCUGAUGUUCUCGGAUGGAUUUGAGUAAGAGUUUUAACGGACGGACCCGAAAGACAGUGAACUAUGCUUGUAUAGGGUGAAGCCAGAGGAAACUCUGGUGGAGGCUCGCAGCGGUUCUGACGUGCAAAUCGAUCGUCAAAUAUGAGCAUGGGGGCGAAAGACUAAUCGAACUGUCUAGUAGCUGGUUACCGCCGAAG